This 301-nucleotide ribosomal RNA is filed under the name uncultured bacterium. RNAcentral's name for it is "partial 16S ribosomal RNA". It matches the Rfam family "Bacterial small subunit ribosomal RNA", at positions 509 to 807 of the family's 1533-position model. The record is from RNAcentral.
CAGCCGCCGCGGUAAUGCGUAGGUGGCAAGCGUUGUCCGGAAUUAUUGGGCGUAAAGGGCUCGCAGGCGGUUUCUUAAGUCUGAUGUGAAAGCCCCCGGCUCAACCGGGGAGGGUCAUUGGAAACUGGGAAACUUGAGUGCAGAAGAGGAGAGUGGAAUUCCACGUGUAGCGGUGAAAUGCGUAGAGAUGUGGAGGAACACCAGUGGCGAAGGCGACUCUCUGGUCUGUAACUGACGCUGAGGAGCGAAAGCGUGGGGAGCGAACAGGAUUAGAUACCCCUGUAGUCCCUGUCUCUUAUAC